AGAAAACAGUAGCUGCACGUAGGUUGAGGGGAGGCUAAAUAAGCUGCGGACGUAAAUGCAAUUAAACCUUCUUGCGAGUUGAGAAGUGAUGAAUAAAGAAGCGCGAGCAGCAGGGGAAUGAGGUGACUGAUGCAGGAUUAGCAGAACCAGGGGAACCACACACGACUACAAUAGUGUCUCAUUGCUGUGACCCAGACUGCGCCAGAAAAGCCAGGAGAUGCCCUUCGGCUGCGAGCUCUAAGGAGAGAAAGGAGGAGGGGCAGAAGCGACAUAACCGAGCUCUGGACCCAGCCGGGGAAGGGGAGUUCUUGGGCAGGACGGACGCUGCGCCUGCACAUUUGCACCUUCACCCCCCCCCCCCCCCCUCCUAGUGGGAUGCGGCGGCUCAAACUCCCUGCGCUGAAAACCAGCCUCAUGCCCUUGGCGCCCGCCCCGCCCCCGCCGCCUUUCCUGGGAGCCCCCGGAGCCUCCCCCCGCCCGCCCCCUCCCCCGCGGGUUCCCCCUCGGCCGCCCUCGCGCCCCCUGCGUUAGUGCGGUUGCUGCGGGCGCGGCGGCGCGGAGAGGGAGCGGCCGGCCCGGGCCCCUGGGGGAGCCCCCCUUGCCAAGGCCGGCCCUCCGGGGGCCGGGGUCUCUCCUGGCUCCGGCCCCGCCGCCAUUCGGCCACUAGAGUCAUUUUCCUAAGGCCCGUCACUUCCCCCUCAGGGGCUCCGGAUCGUUUCUCCGGCUGGCAGCGACGGCCCCUCGGGACCGCCUCCCACCGCCCCGGCUGUUCCCCGGACGCGCCCCUCGGGGCUCUGCUGCCCAGGGCCUUGGCCCUGGCCCCCUCCGUGCUGGGUGCUCGGACUGCCGACUCCCGGCUCCCCGGAGUCCCCAGGAAACUCCCCCAGCCCCUGACUCCAGGGCCUUCUCCCGUUCCUCCUGUAAGCCCGGGCACGGCUGGCUGUGGGAAGGGCGGCCCCGUGGAAACCCACGGGCAGGGAGCCAGGCUCCAGGAGGCCCCUUCCACGGGACAGCCCGGGAAGAGGUGACUGCAGAGGGAGGCAGGGAGGGAGGGGUCGGGGGCCCAGUGCAGGAUUCUUCCUUGUUCUCAGAGGAAACCGAAUAAAGGAAUGCUGGGAUCCUUGACAAAUGGAGGAGCGUGGUGGGCGUCCAACCACGACACAGAAGGGGGUGUCCCGGAAGGUGCUGCCGAAGCAAGCCGGUCAGGCCUGGAGGGGAAGGGCGGCCAGCAGGCCCAAGGGCGAAGACGAGGGCCCUGAACGGCAUCCCCAAAGUGGAGAAGCCAGCAGGGCUCGUGGAGAAAAAGGGAGUUUACUUUUGGACACCCUGGGACAUCGGGGAUAUACAGGGCUUAGGGUUGGGGUUAAUGCUUAAGUCCACUGAGGAUGUGCGCCUGAGAGAGGAGAACCAAAUCCAUGGGAAACCACAGCAGCCCAGUCUGGAAGAGAAGAGGGUCCAGGACAGAGCCCUGGGAGACCUCGCCCGGGUUAGCAGGUAAUCCGGAGGAGGAUCAAGAAAAUGAGACUUGGAAGGAGAAGCAGAGAGUCGGGAGGAGAAGCAGAGGAGAGCAGCGGACACAUAGAGACGUGGCUGAGUCAGUGUCCAAGGAGGAGGAUGAGAAAAGGCCUCCACAUGUGAGGAUGACGGGGUCCUUGGUGGCUGAGUUUGUCCUGCGUUCUCAGGGGACCAAAAGGACACGGCUAUCGUAGAGUCAAGUUAGAGUGUGUCUGACUAUGGUUGAUCAGACUUCUGGGCUUGGAAUGUUCGAACGUUUCAGGCAGCCCACAUCUGGGGUGGCUUCUCUAAAUUUGGACGUUCUGUAAUUCUUUGGAGCAAGUGGGGUUCUGCUCGGUCACAGCCCAGCCCCUUCUCUGCUGAGGGCAGAUUGGGCGGGCAGUCAGUCCUGCGUCAGCCUCUCCCACGUCCCAGAAGUCUCCCAAAUGAACCCCACAGAGUGUCCUUGAAUUGCUUGCCCCGGUGCGUUCUCCGGCCCCGGAGCUGUGCUCUCUGCAGCAGCAUUGGAGUUCUUGGCAGUUUAGCUCAAGGACUCAGGGUCUGGCAGCUUUACCUGCCAGGGGAUCUUCAGACUCUUGCUAAGACAGUUCAAAUGGAAGCGACGGCCCGGAUGAACGCUUCAGGCUUCACAAGCGUAUGACAGCGAGGUCUCCCCGUGGCUCCGGAGCCCUUGGUAGUCAGCCUCAUGCUUCUGCUCUCCUCGACUUUCCCUCGGAGCCCCCCAGACACUGAGCUGGCAACUCGUGCAUCAACCUCCAGCCGCGUGCACAUCCCUGGACGGUAUCCCCGCUUUCUCCACGUGCUCUCACUGAUGGUUCCCGUAUGGCUGUGGCGGCACCGGCUGACGGAGAGCCGUUUUCUUGGUGUUGAUUGCUAGGCCCAAAUUAGCACAAGCGGCAGAGACUCAGUCUGCACUUUGCCCCGUCUCUGCUUCAGAGGCCACAGAGGUGACCGACACACGCUGCUUUUCCCAGCUCGUUUCUAAACUCCAGACUUUCAGCGCUGGGUUCUGCUGAGCUCUGGGGUGUUAAGCUGGCCAAACUGGGAAAGUUCUGGUCCCGAGCCCCUGGGACAGUGGGGCCUCUGCAGCCUCAGACUCCACUUCCCCGUGGGGUUCAUUCUCCCUGGCUGUCCUUUAGGCCUGGAAUGCCCUCCCUCAUUUUCGCCUUUUGCUUUCUCUGACUUCCUUCAAGUUGCAGAUGAAAUUCUACCUUUUACAGGAAAUCUUUGUUAGCUCCCAUUUAUCCUGCGUUGGGCUUCUUUGUACAGUUACCUGCUACCCUCUCCCCCAUUAGAAUGCGAUUUCCUCCAGCGAAGGGACUGGCUUUCACCUUCUGUUUGUGUCCCUGGUGCUUAAGCUAAUAUCUGACACAUAGUUGGCACUGAAUAAAUGCUAACUAUACUUGUUGGUAAAUAAAGGAAGAUGAGAGAGGCAGAAUUCAUAUCUGAAAAUAAAAUUGAAUGUUUAAAAAUCGAUGAAGAAAAAAAUUGGUGAAUAAGAAAACAGAGUAUAGAAAAAGUGAAAGGUCCUUUAGGGGAUGCUGGGGACCUUGGCCAUAAGGUAUAGGCUGUGUUGGGAGCAGGAUCUAUUUUAUGCAGAUUGGGCGGGUUUCUCCUUAAGGAGAGGGAGGCCAUUCUGAGAAUUACUGGUUUGGCUUUCUUGAUGCCUGACUUUAUUUAGCCAGACUGCCCCGGAAGGCUGCCAUUCUGACGGUGUGGCCAUGGUGAAUUCAGAGAUAAACAAUAUUACAUCAAACUUUAUCGAAGUUGUUUUUACUACAUUUUAUGCGCUGCAAGUUUCUAAUUCCAAGCCUGAAUCACUGCACUGGUCUAAGCUAGUUAACUAGUAAUUAGGUAAAAAUAGUAAUAAGGGGAGGAAGCUGCUUUCCUUUCGCUUUGAAUUAAGGAAAUCUUCCCUAAAAAUUGCUACUGAGAAAUGGAACCGAACGACUAUGGACAGGAGGCUCUCAAGCAAAAAGCUGGAUGACUACUUGUUGAAGACGACAGAGACUCUUGUGCAGGCUCUAAACUUCUCGAGGACAGGAGCUGCCUUUUGCCUCCCAGCCCGGGGCCUGGCUCAGAUGAUUGCAUACUCCAGGAGGCAGGCCUGCACCUGUGCUUUCUCUCCCUGACCUGGGGGCUGAGCCACACUAAGGGGACACAUGGCAGAUGGAGACAGUGGAACUCACAGGAUGGAGGAGGUCCGGGUGGCGGCGCUGGCGGAGUGGCCUUGAAAGUCUGAGAACGGCUCUGGGGUCAAUCACUCAUCCCAACGAGGAGGGCAGAGCCCCCCCUGCCUGAGUAUUAGUGGCACCCCUGCUUGGAGUGCAUGAAGAACAGAUCAGAUGACCUGGAAAGCUGCAACCCAGGAAAUCUGUGCAGCUGAACUUGCGCCCAAGAAUAUGCAAAGUGGGAGCAGCCAGGGCCCAAGAAGUGCCAGAUCAGACCCCUCACUCAGGGAAGGAGAGAUCCAUAGAAAGAAUAGACCUGUAAUCACAAGAAUUAAUACCCUCCCCCCCAAAUCCUCUAGUCUGAAGGCCUCGAGUCUCUUAUUCCCUUCCCACUGGCUUCAUGGAAAUCAGCAACUGGGGCCUGAGCCUCUAGGAGGGCUAUUGAUGAAGUGAGGACUGAGCAAAGGGGGUAAGGGACACUAGUCUGGAGGGCCUGGGCUUAGAGGAGGCUGGUUUGGGGCCAAUAUUUACCCCCGAGGCCCUGAAGAAUAAGAAUCCUCUCAGUUGGUUUCCAAUUUCCAUGAAGUGUCGCCCCAUCCCACACUCCCACUCCCCACAUUGGCAAAGUAAGCUCCACAUGGUCACAAAACACAGGCCCAAGUGCGGGUUUCAGAGAUUGAGGCACGGUGGGGCCAGCUGUAACCUGAAUUUAAACUGGGAUUACACAUUAGGGGUUUGGGAGCCUUCUUGUUAAUCAUGUUUAAUGUUUUUAAAUCUACAUUUUCAUGUUGAAUUUUUAAAGUCACCACAAAGUUCAUGAUGGAAAAUUGAUUUUGUAAAACUAGAUUCAUCAAAAGAUACAAUAAAGACACAUCUUAAAUGGAAAUUUAACAAAGAUUUAUUAAACACCU
Sarcophilus harrisii (Tasmanian devil) is the source of this 4597-nucleotide long non-coding RNA. NCBI's taxonomy places the organism in Eukaryota, Metazoa, Chordata, Mammalia, Dasyuromorphia, Dasyuridae. The record is from Ensembl.